RNAcentral lists this ribosomal RNA (178 nucleotides) under Pseudomonas protegens. RNAcentral's name for it is "partial 23S ribosomal RNA". It matches the Rfam family "Bacterial large subunit ribosomal RNA", at positions 2770 to 2925 of the family's 2925-position model. The record is from RNAcentral. Lineage: Bacteria; Pseudomonadati; Pseudomonadota; Gammaproteobacteria; Pseudomonadales; Pseudomonadaceae.
GCUGAAAGCAUCUAAGCGGGAAACUUGCCUCAAGAUGAGAUCUCACUGGAACCUUGAGUUCCCUAAAGGGCCGUCGAAGACUACGACGUUGAUAGGUUGGGUGUGUAAGCGCUGUGAGGCGUUGAGCUAACCAAUACUAAUUGCCCGUGAGGCUUGACCAUAUAACACCCAAGCAAUU